AGCAGCCGCCGCGGUAAUACGUAGGUGGCAAGCGUUGUCCGGAAUUAUUGGGCGUAAAGGGCUCGCAGGCGGUUUCUUAAGUCUGAUGUGAAAGCCCCCGGCUCAACCGGGGAGGGUCAUUGGAAACUGGGAAACUUGAGUGCAGAAGAGGAGAGUGGAAUUCCACGUGUAGCGGUGAAAUGCGUAGAGAUGUGGAGGAACACCAGUGGCGAAGGCGACUCUCUGGUCUGUAACUGACGCUGAGGAGCGAAAGCGUGGGGAGCGAACAGGAUUAGAUACCCCAGUAGUCCCUGUCUCUUAUAC
This 303-nucleotide ribosomal RNA is filed under the name uncultured bacterium. Its description in RNAcentral is "partial 16S ribosomal RNA". It matches the Rfam family "Bacterial small subunit ribosomal RNA", at positions 507 to 807 of the family's 1533-position model. The record is from RNAcentral.